AGUUAGAGCCCGUUAAUGGGUGAUAGCGUGCCUUUUGUAGAAUGAACCGGCGAGUUACGAUUUGUUGCAAGGUUAAGCGGAAAAAGCGGAGCCGUAGCGAAAGCGAGUCUGAAUAGGGCGCAUGAGUAACAGGUCGUAGACCCGAAACCAGGUGAUCUACCCAUGUCCAGGAUGAAGGUGAGGUAAUACUCACUGGAGGUCCGAACCCACGCACGUUGAAAAGUGCGGGGAUGAGGUGUGGGUAGCGGAGAAAUUCCAAUCGAACCUGGAGAUAGCUGGUUCUCUCCGAAAUAGCUUUAGGGCUAGCCUCGAGGUAAAGAGUCGUGGAGGUAGAGCACUGUUUGGACUAGGGGCCCUUCUCGGGUUACCGAAUUCAGAUAAACUCCGAAUGCCAUGUACUUAUACUCGGGAGUCAGACUGCGAGUGAUAAGAUCCGUAGUCGAAAGGGAAACAGCCCAGACCACCAGUUAAGGUCCCAAAAUAUAUGUUAAGUGGAAAAGGAUGUGGGGUUGCAUAGACAACCAGGAUGUUGGCUUAGAAGCAGCCACCAUUGAAAGAGUGCGUAAUAGCUCACUGGUCGAGUGACCCCGCGCCGAAAAUGUACCGGGGCUAAACAUAUUACCGAAACUGUGGAUGAACCUCUUUGGAGGUUCGUGGUAGGAGAGCGUUCUAAGGGCGGUGAAGUCAGACCGGAAGGACUGGUGGAGCGCUUAGAAGUGAGA
RNAcentral lists this ribosomal RNA (722 nucleotides) under Listeria booriae. RNAcentral describes it as "partial 23S ribosomal RNA". It matches the Rfam family "Bacterial large subunit ribosomal RNA", at positions 572 to 1293 of the family's 2925-position model. The record is from RNAcentral. Lineage: Bacteria; Bacillati; Bacillota; Bacilli; Caryophanales; Listeriaceae.